AUACGGAGGGUGCAAGCGUUAAUCGGAAUUACUGGGCGUAAAGCGCGCGUAGGCGGAUUGUUAAGUCUCAUGUGAAAGCCCUGGGCUCAACCUGGGAACUGCAUGGGAUACUGGCAAUCUAGAAUACAGUAGAGGGUAGUGGAAUUUCAGGUGUAGCGGUGAAAUGCGUAGAGAUCUGAAGGAACAUCAGUGGCGAAGGCGACUACCUGGACUGAUAUUGACGCUGAGGUGCGAAAGCGUGGGGAGCAAACGGGAUUAGAAACCCCGGUAGUCC
This 274-nucleotide ribosomal RNA is filed under the name uncultured bacterium. RNAcentral's name for it is "partial 16S ribosomal RNA". It matches the Rfam family "Bacterial small subunit ribosomal RNA", at positions 523 to 796 of the family's 1533-position model. The record is from RNAcentral.